This 443-nucleotide ribosomal RNA is filed under the name uncultured bacterium. RNAcentral describes it as "partial 16S ribosomal RNA". It matches the Rfam family "Bacterial small subunit ribosomal RNA", at positions 356 to 791 of the family's 1533-position model. The record is from RNAcentral.
UGGGGAAUUUGGACAAUGGGGGCAACCUGAUCCAGCAACGCCGCGUGUGUGAAGAAGGCCUUCGGGUUGUAAAGCACUUUUGUCCGGAAAGAAAACGUCGUGGUUAAUACCCGUGGCGGCUGACGGUACCGGAAGAAUAAGCACCGGCUAACUACGUGCCAGCAGCCGCGGUAAUACGUAGGGUGCAAGCGUUAAUCGGAAUUACUGGGCGUAAAGCGUGCGCAGGCGGUCCGCUAAGACAGAUGUGAAAUCCCCGGGCUUAACCUGGGAACUGCAUUUGUGACUGGCGGGCUAGAGUAUGGCAGAGGGGGGUAGAAUUCCACGUGUAGCAGUGAAAUGCGUAGAGAUGUGGAGGAAUACCGAUGGCGAAGGCAGCCCCCUGGGCCAAUACUGACGCUCAUGCACGAAAGCGUGGGGAGCAAACAGGAUUCAGAUACCCUGGG